RNAcentral lists this long non-coding RNA (1012 nucleotides) under Salvia miltiorrhiza (redroot sage). Its description in RNAcentral is "long non-coding RNA (SMIL_LNC002399)". Lineage: Eukaryota; Viridiplantae; Streptophyta; Magnoliopsida; Lamiales; Lamiaceae. The record is from RNAcentral.
UGUGUCCGAGACAACUUCUCCUUCUCUUUUCCUCCAAACUCAUUUCCACUUUGUGUGAAAUAAGUUUGGGGGGAGGGGAAAGAUAGAUUAGUUGUCUCAUCUAUCUUUUGCUUUACUUGUUUUUGUUUGUUUUAGUUUUAUUUUCUUGUUUUUGUUAUUGUUGAAUAAAUGAAAGCUUGAGAGUUAGUUGGGUUGAUAUUUUUGUUUUUGUUUUGCUUGGGAUAAUUGUAGCAAAUUUUGUGACGAUGAAUUGUUUGUUGUUGGGCUUACAAUAUGAUUGUUGUUUUUGAAAAGAAAUUGUGUGUAUCACUUGUGGAUUAUGCAUGAAAAGUUUGAACUUGUGACAAGUGAGUUAAAUAUUUUGCCUCCAAGAACUUGAUAAUGAGCUUGUAAGAUUUGAGCCAUUGAUUGUCAUAUUAUCACAAUCUCAUUUCAUUCUUGAGUGUAAAUCAAUUGAACAUGCUCGUUAAUCUCUAGAACUUGCCAUAAGUCCUCUCUAAAAAAAUGAAAGUAGAUGUGUUAUGGAUAUUGAAGUGAUUUAAGGCCAUCCUUGCUAGCCACUUGACUUAAAUUGUGUCCAAAUUCUCAUAUGAUCAUAGUUUACCCACUUUGUGCCUUAUAGCCUUUUUUUGAAUGAACCAAUGAUAAAGGGGUAGAACUUAGAGUGUUAGUGGUUGCUUUGAUGAAAAGGUUUGGGAAAUGAUUGAAAUUGCCUAUCAAGCUUUGAUUGAGUGAAAAUCACUAGUCCCCUAUGAGCUUAAAAAGAAAAAGAAAAGAAAAAGAAAUGUUGAAUAAAAGAGCAUAAAGGGGAGUGAUUUACCUUUUGAAUCAUAGCCAUGAUACAUAUCACUAAGGAUGAAAAGAAGAAAUGUGGGGAUAUUGGUUAUUGAUUGAUUAGAAAAGAACAAUGGUGAAUAUGACUUAUUCAAUUUGGGAAUUGUAUGGGAUAUGAGUCACUUUGCCUAUAAACACCUCACCUCACCAAAGAGCCCUCAUUGCAACCUAAAGAAAA